GCUAGAGCCGAGCGAAGCGAUGCCUAAAUCAAAGGAACUUGUUUCUUCAAGCUCUUCUGGCAGUGAUUCUGACAGUGAGGUUGACAAAAAGUUAAAGAGGAAAAAGCAAGUUGCUCCAGAAAAACCUGUAAAGAAACAAAAGACAGGUGAGACUUCGAGAGCCCUGUCAUCUUCUAAACAGAGCAGCAGCAGCAGAGAUGAUAACAUAUUGGGAAAAUGAGGUACGUUAGUGUUCGCGAUUUUAAAGGCAAAGUGCUAAUUGAUAUUAGAGAAUAUUGGAUGGAUCCUGAAGGUGAAAUGAAACCAGGAAGAAAAGGUAUUUCUUUAAAUCCAGAACAAUGGAGCCAGCUGAAGGAACAGAUUUCUGACAUUGAUGAUGCAGUAAGAAAACUGUAAAAUUCGAGCCAUAUAAAUAAAACCUGUACUGUUCUAGUUGUUUUAAUCUGUCUUUUUACAUUGGCUUUUGUUUUCUAAAUGUUCUCCAAGCUAUUGUAUGUUUGGAUUGCAGAAGAAUUUGUAAGAUGAAUACUUUUUUUUAAUGUGCAUUAUUAAAAAUAUUGAGUGAAGCUAAUUGUCAACUUUAUUAAGGAUUACUUUGUCUGCCCACCACCUAGUGUAAAAUAAAAUCAAGUAAUACAAUCUUAACUGUUGUGGCCUUUUUUGAUCAUAAGAGUUGGUACUGUUUAAGGCCAAAAGUAACAGUUUUUAUAGAUCUUUUAGUUUCAACUCAGCUUUUACAAUAAAAAGGAUUUGUAUUGCAUUGAGUUUAUAAACUUUUGGUUUGUGAACUUCAUAUUUGAUCUUUUCUCUUCCAAUCAAAUGUCUAGGCUUGUUUGACUUCCACCCCCAAUGGUUUUUCACUCUUUUUAUUUACUUCAUUUUCCUUUAAUAACUUAAUCUCUUCAUGUUCAGUUUUUACUUCACUCUUUAUUCUUUUCUUUGAUUAUGGUAUGCUUAUUUGGAAAGUCAGUGAAACUGUCAAAAUGUUAUCUCAAUAAGAUACUUAUAUGAGAACUACAAUCACCGAAUCUACUGUAUUCAAUAUUAGCAGAUCUAAUUUGAUAAACAACAUGGCUUGUGUGAAAACUGAGCAGGUGUUUGUUUACCCAUAGUGUUCUGUGUAGUUAUUGCUUAGUCUGCAGAAAAUAAUGACUUAGAUGAGAUGUCUGACUUGCUUUCACUUAUUAAACAUGUUCACCAUGGGAUGAUGUCUGUAACAUCAGAUAUUGUUCAACUAGACUAGGAUUUAAUAAAAAUUGUGAAAG
Molecule: long non-coding RNA, 1265 nt
Filed under: Homo sapiens (human)
Lineage: Eukaryota; Metazoa; Chordata; Mammalia; Primates; Hominidae
Description: long non-coding RNA NONHSAT202457.1
Source: RNAcentral